AUUGAACGCUGGCGGCAUGCCUAACACAUGCAAGUCGAACGGAGGUAGGGGCAACUCUACUUCAGUGGCGGACGGGUGAGGAAUGCGUCGGAAUCUACCCUAUGGUGGGGGAUAACACAGGGAAACUUGUGCUAAUACCGCAUGAUGUCGAGAGACCAAAGCAGGGGACCGCAAGGCCUUGCGCGAUAGGAUGAGCCGACGCCCGAUUAGCUAGUUGGUAGGGUAAAGGCCUACCAAGGCGACGAUCGGUAGCUGGUCUGAGAGGAUGAUCAGCCUCACUGGGACUGAGACACGGCCCAGACUCCUACGGGAGGCAGCAGUGGGGAAUAUUGGACAAUGGGCGCAAGCCUGAUCCAGCAAUGCCGCGUGUGUGAAGAAGGCCUGCGGGUUGUAAAGCACUUUUGUUCGGGAAGAAAACGGAUCGGUUAAUACCCGGUUCGGAUGACGGUACCGAAAGAAUAAGCACCGGCUAACUUCGUGCCAGCAGCCGCGGUAUGUA
This 499-nucleotide ribosomal RNA is filed under the name uncultured bacterium. RNAcentral describes it as "bacterial SSU rRNA". It matches the Rfam family "Bacterial small subunit ribosomal RNA", at positions 30 to 525 of the family's 1533-position model. The record is from RNAcentral.